UAUUCUCUUGUGCUGAGCCGAUUUCUAUGAUGAUCUGAUUUCGUUUCUUUUUGGCAAAAUUGUGAAUGACCAUGACAUUAGAACGAAACAACAAUUAUAUGCGUGUGUACGUGUGUGCGCAG
RNAcentral lists this small RNA (122 nucleotides) under Drosophila erecta. Its description in RNAcentral is "GG26760". Lineage: Eukaryota; Metazoa; Arthropoda; Insecta; Diptera; Drosophilidae. The record is from RNAcentral.